UUUUUUUAAAAAGAAUGUGAACUCAGUCUUCACAACCUAAUAACCAGCAUCAUCACACUCCCGGAUUCAUUUACAGUUUAUGAAGUCCUUUCUCAUUCUUUGUGUCAGGAGAACCUCAUCUCAAGCCCGUGGAGAAAGGCAACCAGGAUUUCUCAGUUCUUUUAUUUAUAAGGAAACCAGGCCUCGGCCUGUGUCAUGAGCUGCUUAAGUAUAUCCACUUAGAAAGGAAGUUGAGCCAGUUCUUCUGACUCCAGACCCGGUGCUCUGUCCUCCGAGGACACGAGAUGAACAGGCCCCCAGCGGGCCGCUUAGCCUGCGUGUUGUAGACGAGAUGUCAGACAAAACGGCAAAAAGUUCAUCUUGCCCAAGUCCACGUCCUCACAGCCCCAUAGAGGGAAGAGGGAGGGAGGAGGGGGUAGGUCGGACGCCUGGUAUCGGAUGGCCCAGGGUGGGGUCCACAGGACGGAGCAGCCUUGACAGGCAAAGGCAGGAAACGGCUGAAGCAGGAUCGUGAAAUGACAUUUGUCAAAGGCAUCCACACCCAUCUGCGGCAGUGAAAGUGUACCAGGCCCAAGGCGGAGGUGAUGGGCCAACGAAACUCGCCACCGCAUUCACCUCUGCGAUUGGGGACACGGUGAGGCCGGCCCACCUGCCGUAUCAGCACCUUGAUCACGGAGCUCAUCUGAGAGAGGUUUCCAAAUGACUCGCCGGGCCCCGCUGCCCCAGGAAGGAAGCUUUCUGGGCUGCAGUGUGGGGGCUGCUGGGCGUGGGCCAGGCACUUGAAAGAGAGUAAAUGAUGACACAGCAGUGGGAGACAGGGCUGCUGACAGUGUGGGGCUGGCUCUGGAGAGGCAGGGAUGCAGCGCCUGCCAAAGGGGGGGGGGGUGGCGCGCAUUGGAAAAUCACGUGGGCAUCUCCCUGUUAGCGAGGAAACAAGGGCCAGGUGCUGUAGCUUGGCAUUUCAGGCCCCUGUAACACGGCCCAGAUGUGCUGUUGUUUGUUUUUCAGGCAAUAAAUAUUUAUAGAAUGUUCACCGUGAGUUUCCAAAGUUAACUUCCUGCUGGUUCCUUUUCAGGAAAGCCGCUGGAGAGGACUUCUGGUGCUGCAAAUGUGGAACAGAGCUCCUUUUCUGAAACGGGGCCGCCUGUGGCCCGUGGGCACGAACACCACUCCUCCGGUCAAAGCAAGUCAGCAGCCUGUGUGUAGGCAGAAAGGCAUGUCUCCAGAUUCUGUUUCCCUUUAAAAAUAUCUGAUAUAAAAUAUACUUUAUGCAAUAA
This is a long non-coding RNA of Lynx canadensis (Canada lynx), 1277 nucleotides long. RefSeq lists it as uncharacterized. The record is from RefSeq and is a predicted model, not a curated record. Lineage: Eukaryota; Metazoa; Chordata; Mammalia; Carnivora; Felidae. The transcript is spliced from 2 exons.